This 22-nucleotide microRNA is filed under the name Homo sapiens (human). RNAcentral describes it as "Hsa-Mir-430-P37b_5p* (star (passenger))". The record is from RNAcentral. Lineage: Eukaryota; Metazoa; Chordata; Mammalia; Primates; Hominidae.
CUGCAAAGGGAAGCCCUUUCUG